This 224-nucleotide unclassified non-coding RNA is filed under the name fungal sp. RNAcentral describes it as "partial internal transcribed spacer region". The stretch from base 1 to 46 matches the Rfam family "Eukaryotic small subunit ribosomal RNA", at positions 1786 to 1831 of the family's 1831-position model. The record is from RNAcentral. Lineage: Eukaryota; Fungi.
AAGUCGUAACAAGGUUUCCGUAGGUGAACCUGCGGAAGGAUCAUUGAGAAUUUGGAGGUGCAGGUUUUCUCUUUGUUGGAUGGAUCUUGGUCCUGAAGGCUUUGGGGGGGCUUGUAUUUUCUUUGUGAACUGUUUUUUGGGUUUUUGAUAUUUUUUUUGGUACUUUGUAUUUUUUUAAAAAGUUUCUUUAUAGACAACUUUCAGCAAUGGAUCUCUAGGCUCUU